AGAGUUUGAUCCUGGCUCAGAACGAACGCUGGCGGCGUGCUUAACACAUGCAAGUCAGGGAGAAAGUCUCUUCGGGGAUGAUUAAACCGGCGCACGGGUGAGUAACACGUGAGUGACCUGCCUUUUAGACUGGAACAACUUACCGAAAGGUGAGCUAAUGCCGGAUGAGUUAUAUAAGUGCAUGUUUAUAUAGGAAAAGUUGGGGAGACCUGACGCUGAAAGAUGGACUCGCGUCCCAUUAGCUAGUUGGUAGGGUAAUGGCCUACCAAGGCGACGAUGGGUAGCCGGCCUGAGAGGGUGGCCGGCCACACUGGGACUGAGACACGGCCCAGACUCCUACGGGAGGCAGCAGUGGGGAAUUUUGCGCAAUGCUCGUAAGAGUGACGCAGCGACGCCGCGUGAAUGACGAAGGCCUUCGGGUCGUAAAGUUCUUUCGACAGGGAAGAAAAUGCCUAUAAGUAACUGUGUAUGUAUUGACGGUACCUGUAUAAGCAGCCCCGGCUAACUCCGUGCCAGCAGCCGCGGUAAUACGGAGGGGGCGAGCGUUGUUCGGAGUGACUGGGCGUAAAGAGCACGUAGGCGGUGUUGUAAGUCAUUAGUCAAAGACUAGAGCUCAACUUUAGUAAGGCUAGUGAUACUAUAAUACUAGAGUAUCAGAGAGGAUUGCAGAAUUCCUGGUGUAGCGGUGAAAUGCGUAGAUAUCAGGAGGAAUACCGUUAGCGAAGGCGGCAAUCUGGCUGGAAACUGACGCUGAGGUGCGAAAGCGUGGGUAGCAAACAGGAUUAGAUACCCUGGUAGUCCACGCU
Molecule: ribosomal RNA, 806 nt
Filed under: Mucispirillum schaedleri
Lineage: Bacteria; Pseudomonadati; Deferribacterota; Deferribacteres; Deferribacterales; Mucispirillaceae
Description: bacterial SSU rRNA
Rfam family: Bacterial small subunit ribosomal RNA
Source: RNAcentral